RNAcentral lists this ribosomal RNA (503 nucleotides) under uncultured Desulfobulbus sp. Its description in RNAcentral is "bacterial SSU rRNA". It matches the Rfam family "Bacterial small subunit ribosomal RNA", at positions 903 to 1382 of the family's 1533-position model. The record is from RNAcentral. Lineage: Bacteria; Pseudomonadati; Thermodesulfobacteriota; Desulfobulbia; Desulfobulbales; Desulfobulbaceae.
GCCAGCCGCUCAGAAACUCAAAGGAAUUGACGGGGCCCGCACAAGCGGUGGAGUAUGUGGUUUAAUUCGAUGCAACGCGAAGAACCUUACCUGGUCUUGACAUCCCGGAGACCCUUAGGAAACUAGGGGGUGCUUCCAUCUGGAAGAAUCUGGAGACAGGUGCUGCAUGGCUGUCGUCAGCUCGUGUCGUGAGAUGUUGGGUUAAGUCCCGCAACGAGCGCAACCCUUGCCUUUAGUUGCCAGCAGUUCGGCUGGGCACUCUAAAGGGACUGCCGGUGUUAAACCGGAGGAAGGUGGGGAUGACGUCAAGUCCUCAUGGCCUUUAUGACCAGGGCUACACACGUACUACAAUGGCCGAUACAAAGGGCAGCGACACUGCGAGGUGAAGCCAAUCCCGUAAAAUCGGUCUCAGUCCGGAUUGGAGUCUGCAACUCGACUCCAUGAAGUUGGAAUCGCUAGUAAUCGUGGAUCAGCAUGCCACGGUGAAUACGUUCCCGGGCCUU